This 77-nucleotide transfer RNA is filed under the name Bradyrhizobium japonicum. Its description in RNAcentral is "tRNA-Arg". It matches the Rfam family "tRNA". From Rfam's summary of the family: Transfer RNA (tRNA) molecules are approximately 80 nucleotides in length. Their secondary structure includes four short double-helical elements and three loops (D, anti-codon, and T loops). Lineage: Bacteria; Pseudomonadati; Pseudomonadota; Alphaproteobacteria; Hyphomicrobiales; Nitrobacteraceae. RNAcentral also lists the same sequence under 1 other name. The record is from RNAcentral.
GCCUUCGUAGCUCAGCCGGACAGAGCGGCCAGUUUCUACCUGGCGGGUCGGGAGUUCGAAUCUCUCCGAAGGCGCCA